This 28-nucleotide non-coding RNA is filed under the name Bombyx mori (domestic silkworm). Lineage: Eukaryota; Metazoa; Arthropoda; Insecta; Lepidoptera; Bombycidae. The record is from RNAcentral.
UAGAUGUGCAAGUUGCGUUCGGUCCGAG